This 253-nucleotide ribosomal RNA is filed under the name uncultured bacterium. RNAcentral describes it as "partial 16S ribosomal RNA". It matches the Rfam family "Bacterial small subunit ribosomal RNA", at positions 524 to 776 of the family's 1533-position model. The record is from RNAcentral.
UACGGAGGGAGCUAGCGUUGUUCGGAAUUACUGGGCGUAAAGCGCGCGUAGGCGGCUUUGUAAGUUAGAGGUGAAAGCCCGGGGCUCAACUCCGGAACUGCCUUUAAGACUGCAUCGCUUGAAUCCGGGAGAGGUGAGUGGAAUUCCGAGUGUAGAGGUGAAAUGCGUAGAGAUCGGGAGGAACACCUGUGGCGAAGGCGGCGUCCUGGCCUGCGACUGACGCUGUGGCGCGAAAGCUAGGGGAGCGAACGGG